AUCUGUCUUGCUCUGUUUCUGCUUCUGUCAGCUAUUAUCAGCAUCCUAUCCAGAAGAUAUAAUGUAUAGUCUCUAUGCCCUGUGGAAUUUUGGAGAGUGCAUGCUUUCUUUCAUCAGAGUCUUCACAAAGUGCUCACAACUGGUAGUCCCUCCUCACCUGGGUCAACGCUCCUGUUUCUAUCUUGAGGUGCCCUGUGUGCAGUGCUAGUCCAAACUGUUGUUUGUGAAAGCCAGCACAUCACCAGCUCUAACCAGGUCCUGUAUACCUCCUCAGUUGUUCGUACCUGGGACUAGAAUUAAAGAUGCCAGUACAGCCACCAAAAGAUGUAAGGCACUUAGAACCAGUUUCAAUUGGAGUUGAGCACUGAAGUACAAGGGGAGCCUACAAAAUGCACAAUGUUUAAUGUUAUCUGAUGGUCACAAGGGAUCCUAAAACAUUUUAAGUAAAGAUAUGGGAUACACUUUAACAGAUACCCAGUGUAUCUUAGCUGAAGAACUUGAACACCCACAUGUGGUAGUACUUAACGUGAGGGAACUGGGACCUUUUGAAUUUUUUCAAGCUACUUUCACAAUCAGCAGAGGGCUGUGAAGCGAAAAGUCACAUAUGGGUCACUUUUGCUGACAUGCUUGCUAGAUCACAAGCAGCUACCACAAAAUUUGUUUCAAGGACAUAGAAAUCAUUGGGUUACAUUAAGAAGGCUGCACACAUCUUAAUCUGCAAAACUGUAUAGCUAAGUUUGUUUCACUAACUAGAAAAUACACAGAACAAAAACACCUUUAUUGGUCUUCCAGAAGAAUUGAUUUGCUAACUUAGAUAUUUUGAUUCAUUUCUUCUUUGAUAACAUAAUAGUUGGAAGAAAACUGGAAUGUCUAAAAUAUUCACAAAUGUAAAUUAUUUCUAAGGAAGUAAACUUCCAUCAGAAAAAGAGAAGCUGCUUUUCAGACUUAAGAAAUUUCUCCUUAAAAAUAGCUUAUAUCCUUCACUGUCUUUAAAUUUUCUGCCUGUUCAGAUGGUGGAUUUACUGUGGCAAUUGCAGUCAUUCAUGGCAGAAGUAUCUACAUAAGGUUUGCACUGCUUCUUUUUUUGUAUUUGCAUGGAUCAUGUAGACAGCAUACACUCUGCUUAAGGUAAGGAAAGAGGUUGGUACGACUUGUAUGUAUGUUUUGCAUAAUGAAUCUUCUCCAUUAGCAUAUUUUUGCUACCUAAAAAGUUAUUACUAACAUUAUCAUUUGUAAAACCAGCCCAAUGAUGGGAACGUGAACGGAGCUAUCCUGUGAUGCAUGGAUUAGAGGUGGCUAUACUUUGACUGAUGGUCCUUAUUACUGCACAGGACACAACCUGCUUUGUGCUUGAGCUUAUGUUUGCUGAGCUGACAAAAGUUGGUGAGAGACAAUAAAGAUAAAAGCUUAAUUAACAUUUAAAAAAAA
This is a long non-coding RNA of Oxyura jamaicensis (ruddy duck), 1428 nucleotides long. RefSeq lists it as uncharacterized. The record is from RefSeq and is a predicted model, not a curated record. The transcript has 4 exons. Lineage: Eukaryota; Metazoa; Chordata; Aves; Anseriformes; Anatidae.